UUAAUAGAAGAGCCACGUUAUGAUGACUUCCUGGAGAUGGAGUUUCAGAAAGAGCAGGAGUAUUUAAAGAGACAUAGGCCCAAUGUCAAAGCAUUAAAUUACAAGUAAAAUUUAUUUUAAGUCGUAUUUGAUAUAUACAGCACUUUUAUAACAAGUUUUAUAACAUAGUUAAAUUUCUGUGCUAUAAAAUGACACUAUGUGCCCAGAAAACGCAUAAUACCGUUCCUUUAAAACCAUUAUGAAAGAAAUUUGAGGGUGAAUUCACACCAGCCCUGCUUAGUACGUUUAAAUUGAACCUUAGUUCGUUUACCGAGAGAGCUCGGUUUGUUUGAACUCUGUUUCCACCUAAAAACCUCCGUUUUGGUUUGAUAGUGAAUGCCAAGAUGCCCAGUGACGACUCAAAAAAGCAGGAAGCCAAUUAUAGCACAGAGCAUUAUGGGUAAAUACAAAUAAAGACAAAAGCGAGAAUCUAACGUUAGAGAAAAAACAAAAGAAAAAUCACACGACUGUUAAAAUUUGAAGCUACUCCAUUUUUAUUUACAUUUUGAGAAGGAAGCUGUGCUCACGUCUUCUUCGGAGGUUUUGGUGUCGCUUUUUUGGCGCAGCGCCAUCACAGGCGAAAGGGUGAACGGCAGUUUUUAAUUGGUUCGGCUCAUUGAAAAUAUAACAAAUAUUGAAAUUUUGGUCCCCAAUUGAACCGAGUCUACCAACUUUAAGACUGGUAUCACGACGGAAAUGUAGAGGGGAAAAUCGCUAAUAAAUACAUAGUAUGAGUUGGCAACAGAAGUGAGAAAAUGGCGAAGACAAACAUCGUGCAGUCAACUGCCGAUAAAUGUCCACUUAAUGGAAGUAACAAACUAGCUAGCUUAUUAGCAACUUUAGCCGUAGCCGCAACCGCGCAAUGAUCAAAUCUGAUUAUGACUCAAAAGUUUUUCAUAACAAUAUAGUCCCGCAAGAAAAACGAAAACUAAACGGAAAAUAUGAGCUUAAAUAGUCCUGCCCUCACAAAAUGUAACACCUGUGAUUAACUAAGGCCAAUUUAUUGUUUUUUUCAAUUAAUGAAGGACAUUUGAAGGCCUUCAUUUUGGAUACAUGAACGUAAGACUUUUUAAGGCUGUGUGGACAGCAUGUAUCAGAGAGAACCGGUUGCCCAGAGGCACCUUGCACAGCCUCUGCAGCUCAGGCAUUGAUUCCCAUGCCAGCCAUCAAUCAGAGUGACAUUUUAUGCAUCUGCAUCCCAUACUCAGAAAUCUUACCAUCUCUCCAUCGCUUCGCUGUGUUCACAGAGACUCUUCUUCUCCGAUCAUCUCUGCAAGACAUGAGGGCAAGAGAGAUACAGAAAAGAAGAAGAAAGAGGGGGGGGGGGAGCGUCCUGCUUUUUUCCUUUAAUCUAUUUUUCCCAUUUAAAAACACAGAACCCAGCAUGUGGGCUGGCUCAAAGCCAACUUUAUCUCUUAAAAGAAGAUUUAAAAAAAAAAAAAAAAACAAUCUUAGCAAAGCCUCCUCAAGGGAGAUCUAAAUUUACCACUCAUUUGCCCGCCACAUGUUUGCACAGAAUCAACAUCUGCAUGCAAAAAAAAAA
Xiphophorus hellerii (green swordtail) is the source of this 1582-nucleotide long non-coding RNA. RefSeq lists it as uncharacterized. Lineage: Eukaryota; Metazoa; Chordata; Actinopteri; Cyprinodontiformes; Poeciliidae. The transcript has 2 exons. The record is from RefSeq and is a predicted model, not a curated record.